UCCCUUGUAGCUCAGUCAGUAAAGCAUCUGCCUGUAGUGCAGGAAACCUGGGUUCGAUUCCUGGGUCAGGAA
This 72-nucleotide transfer RNA is filed under the name Ovis aries (sheep). It matches the Rfam family "tRNA". From Rfam's summary of the family: Transfer RNA (tRNA) molecules are approximately 80 nucleotides in length. Their secondary structure includes four short double-helical elements and three loops (D, anti-codon, and T loops). The record is from Rfam by way of RNAcentral. Lineage: Eukaryota; Metazoa; Chordata; Mammalia; Artiodactyla; Bovidae.